Molecule: long non-coding RNA, 877 nt
Organism: Zea mays
Lineage: Eukaryota; Viridiplantae; Streptophyta; Magnoliopsida; Poales; Poaceae
Exons: 3
Source: RefSeq, a predicted model, not a curated record
GUCACAUGGUGGUAAGCCUUGCUCCAUCUUCUCGGCUUAUGCUAUGGCCCACAAGGGUAAGGCGACGUCCGACAUCACUUACAACCCAGAUGACGGACCCGAGGCGUAUAGCAACCCCGCCGUCUACAGCCGCCUAAGUGAGUAUACUACCAUGGCUCAGGAGGUCCAUUGGCCAGAUUACGAUCUGAGGACCGAGGAAAUCGACGGAGAUGUCCUCAUGAGGGUCGAAGGAGGCAAGAGGUAUGGGUGGUACUGGAUUGUCGACAGGGCAAUCGACUCGUUAUCCACUCCCACUCUAUCUCAGGUGCGAGCAAGGAGCACGAGCUCGAGCCCAGCCAUAUGACCUUGGUAGGAUAGCUCACAUCAUCUCAUACAACAACUCGAGACCCGGCUAGAAGAAGAGAGGAGGGAACGUCAGGAGAUGGAGGCGAGGAUGAUAGUAGAGCGGGAGGCCCGCUUGGCAAAUAAGCAGAGGACAACGGAGAUGUUCCAGUACAUGCAGAGCCUUGGCGCCGCACAUGGUUUUGCUCCACCACCUCCGUUGUUCCCUCAAGUUGACCUUGCUCAAUUCCAUACUCCCGUACAAUCUAGGGCGGCAUCCAACAACCCUCAUGGAUCGCCUAGCCCAUCGCCGCACCAGUCCAGCCGCCCACCUCGAUGAGAUAUUAUCUUUGUUGGUGUUGUUAAUACUUUGUGAGAUAACCCGGUCUGAAUUUGUUUGAUGUUGGUGAUGCUUUGUGAGAUACUUGAGACUUAUGUUCUUGAGUGUUUGAUACUUAUGUUUGUGUUCGAACAUGUUGGUAAUCCUUUGUGAGAAUUUGUUUUAUUUAUGGUCUUUGUGAGAUAUGUGAUGUAUAUGUGAUACAUGUGAUGAUUA